Non-coding RNA from Podarcis lilfordi (Lilford's wall lizard), 3762 nucleotides. The record is from the annotation of a GenBank genome assembly. Lineage: Eukaryota; Metazoa; Chordata; Lepidosauria; Squamata; Lacertidae.
CAGCCUAGAAUAGCUUUAGCUGCUGCAUCACACUGUUGACUCAUGUUAAGCUUGUGGUCCACCAAGAUAUAAUAAAUAUUUUGCUAUCUUCCCUCUCUCUCCUUUGUGUAAGCCGUUGUUUGUUUACUCUGUGGUCCCAGAGAAAAAUGGUUUGAUGACACUGGUUUAGGGACUGGUCUAAGGCAGAGCAGAGAGCAGAAUCUACAAAGCAGGUGGUUCUUGCACAUUUUUACUGAGUACCAGCCUUGUGUACCCUUAGGCAAUGUCACUGGAAAUUUACUAGAAAGCCCAGCUUCUCAUUGGGCCUCUGUCUCAAGGAAAGAAGCCAUAAGUCUCAGGCAGCAAGCAAUCACUAAGAGAAAGAACUACAGUAUUAGGGACCUAGAGUUUACUCAGAAAUCUCACCUACAAGUGAUCCAAAGUUUUCUCCAAAGGCUCAAAUCCCCACCCCACCCCCUUUGCCCAAGUAUGAAACACAACACUCCAGGUUCUUGAUAAACAUAACACAGGAUUGCCAGAAUCCUGACAGAUGCCACCUUAUGUUUUUGUUGUCAGAUGCUCCUUUGUAUUCAGAUCAGGUCUCAGCACAACAAUGUAGCACUUGGGAAUGAAGAUGCAGCCCAGGAGCCCAGCACUGGAGGCCAAGAUAGAGAAGAUCUGCACAGCCACCAUGUAUUUCCCCUUUGUGCUCAAGUAGGUGGGCACGAAGGACACCCAAACACUACAGAAGACUAGCAUGCUGAAGGUGAUCAGCUUGGCUUCAUUGAAGGCCCCAGGCAGCUUCCUGGCCAGAAAAGCCACCGUGAAGCAGAUGGCAGCUAGGAAGCCCAUGUAACCGAGGGCAGCAUAAAACAUGGCCACAGACCCUUCGUUGCACUGCAGGGUGAUCUCUGCAGUCUGGGAGUGCUUGUCGGAGUCUGGGAAUGGGGGAGAGAUGCCCAGCCAGAUGGUGCAAAUGACAAUUUGGACACUGGAACAGGAAAUGACAAUGGAGUUGGCCAGACUCUUCCCCAGCCAUCUCCUCACCCUGUUCCCUGGUUUUGUGGCCAGGAAGGCCAGCACCACCAUGAUGGUUUUUGCCAACACAGAGGAGAUGGCAACAGAGAAGAUGAUGAAGAAGGUUGCUUGUCGAAGAAGGCAGGUGAACUUCCUUGGCUGGCCGAUGAAGAGGAAGGAUGAUAAAAAUGAAAGCAAGAGGGAGACAAGGAGCAUAUAGGAGAGGUUCCUGUUGUUGGCUUUGACUAUGGGGGUUUCUUUAUAUUUAACGAAGAUUCCUAACACGAUUCCUGUUGCUAAGGACAAGAAUAGGCAAAUUGAGAGUAUGAUCAUGCCCAAAUGUUCUUCAUAAGACAAGAAAGUAAUAAUUUUGGGGACACACUGAUCUCGUUCCUUAUUCGGAUGCUGAUCUUCUGAACAUUUUGUACAAUGUUCUGCAUCUGAGGAGAAAAAGAAUGGUUUCAACACCAUUUACAUCCAUAACCCUCUGCAUUCUUGUACAUUUUGAAGACAGAUGCUGAUGCCUCGUGUAGGUGAAAAAAUUAAAAUGUGCAAUAGCAAAAGAUAGGCAGAAUUGGCUCAUUUGCUUCUUUAAAUCUUAUACUUGCAUUCUGCCCUUACUCCAAGAUGACAGAGGUGGUGCACAAAGUUUUUCUUACUUUUUAAUCACUGAAAUAACCAUACAAUACUGGACAAAGCUGAGAGACCUCUGGCCACCCCAGAUAUAUACAUCUGGCAUCUUCAUUGUGUGGUUUUCCCCUAUUAUAAAGAUAACCUUUUUAUUGGCUGUUGUAUUGUAAUCAUAUUAACAUAACGUAUGGUUCACUUUCUAUUGUGCUUUCACUGCAUUAAGUAUUUACUUUUUUGGCAAUUUCUCAGUUAUUCAAAAUGAUUUUUAAAACUAUCUUUUUGUUGUUGGUUCUCAGAUUUGGUUCAUUGAAAGCAUGGUACAAAAUACCUGAAUAACUGACUGUGUGCAAUGUAUGCUGAGGCUCUCCCUACUCCCCACUUUGUACCCUAGAGAUUGCUUCCUUCUACUGAGAAAUGAGGUUACAGGGAACCAGGCAGAGGGCCUUCUCGAUAGUGGCCCCCACCCUGUGGAAUGCCCUCCCAACAGAUGUCAAGGAUGCAAACAACUAUCUGGCAUUUUGAAGACAUCGGGGAAGUUUUUAAUGUUUGGUGUUUUAUCGUGUUUGUAAUAUUCUGUUAGGAGCUGAUCAGAGUGACUGGGGAAAGCCAGUCGGAUGGGUGUCAUACAGAUAUAAUAAUACUAAUACUACUGCUACUACUACUACUAAUAAUAAUAAUUCAACUCACUUCCUGGAAGUGGUGAAGGUGAGUAAAAAUAGCAAAGAUAAGAAAGGAUCCACAUUCAAAAAUGUCUUUGGAAUCUUCACAGAAAGUGUCGCUGAGUGAAUCUCUGCUCUGUUUUUAUUCUCUCAAGGAACCCUUGCAGUCACUCACCUUCCUGAGUGGAGAUUGUCCCUUCCGCACACAGAACACACAAACAACAGCAAACUGGCUUUCCUUCCUGAACCCUUUUGGCAUAUCCUGGUCGACAUCUUUCCGUACAUCUCGAGCGAGGCACGGUCUAACCAUAAAGAGAAGGUGCAUCAGAAGGAAACCACUAGGAGUCUUUCUGGCUAUGGAAUUCAUGCAUAGAGGUCAAAAAGGGCACAUCUUGGAUGCACAUUUGUCACCUCCAGACUGGAUUAUUGUAACUCGCUCUACAUGGGGCUGCCCUUGAGACUGACCCAGAAACUCCAGCGGGUGCAGAAUGCUGCGGCGAGACUCCUUACGGGAUCCUCGCUGCGGGAUCACAUUCACCCAGUGCUAUACCAGCUUCACUGGCUCCUGGUGGAGUACAGGAUCAGGUUUAAGGUGCUGGUUUUAACCUUUAAAGCACUAUACGGCCUGGGACCCUUGUACCUACAAGACCGCUUCUCCUGGUAUGUCCCACAGAGGAACUUACGAUCUUCAAACAAAAACAUCUUGGAGGUCCCACACCACAGAGAGGUUAGGCUGGCCUCAACCAGAGCCAGGGCUUUUUUGGCUGUGGCUCCGAUCUGGUGGAACGCUCUGCCACAAGAGACUAGGACCCUGCUGGACUUGACAUCUUUCCGCAGGGCCUGCAAGACAGAGCUGUUCCACCAGGCCUUUGGCCAAGGCACAGUCUGACCCCCUCCUUUGGUAAUUCUUUAGUGAAGUAUUCUCUGAUUUUUCCCAUUCUUUUUGAAACUCUUGUCUAGUGUGAUCUCUAAUUGCCUCUGUUAAUCUAGCCAGUUCAAUAUACUCUAACAGUUUGUCUUGCCAUUCCAUUUUUGUUGGCACAGUUUCUUUUUCCCAUACCUUGUUAAACUGCUUGGGCCACUCAAUGGCCUCUGAGAUAAUAGAGAACUUUACGCCAGUGGGUGCCUCUCUCUCUAGACUCCCAAUCUUCACUCUAACACGAGACUUAUUAGGAAACAUCACCCAGUUCUCAAUAGAAAAGUCAAUGGGCAGCUCUCCAUUCUCAUCCAAACACAGUCCUCCUAUGGAAGUAUUUGAGCACUGGAUUUCUUUUAAAAAAUGGUGGAGCUGGAAUGACAUGGGAAACACCAGCAUUAAGAAAGCAGGAAACCAUGUUGGAUAUCUUGGUCUUGUUACUUUAAGCUCUUAUGAACUGGGGCUGUUGCACAUUUCAGGCAUUCUAUUUUAUUAUUAAAAAGCUAGCCCACCUUUCAUGUUAUAAAAAUAACAAGGUGCCUUGCAGAAUAAGAGCUAUAG